UGGGAGAUCGUUCAAUGGUAGGACGACAGGUUCUGACCCUGUUAAUCUAGGUUCGAUCCCUAGUCUCCCAGCCA
Molecule: transfer RNA, 74 nt
Filed under: Candidatus Sericytochromatia bacterium
Lineage: Bacteria; Bacillati; Candidatus Sericytochromatia
Description: tRNA-Gln
Rfam family: tRNA
About the family: Transfer RNA (tRNA) molecules are approximately 80 nucleotides in length. Their secondary structure includes four short double-helical elements and three loops (D, anti-codon, and T loops).
Source: RNAcentral